Oncorhynchus tshawytscha (Chinook salmon) is the source of this 3176-nucleotide long non-coding RNA. Lineage: Eukaryota; Metazoa; Chordata; Actinopteri; Salmoniformes; Salmonidae. The record is from Ensembl.
CCUGGCACCUGCUACCAUACCCCGUUCAAAGGCACUUACAUUUAUUGUCUUGACAAUUCAUCCUCUGAAUGGCACACAUACACAAUCCAUGUCUCAAUUGUCUCAAGAUUUGAAAAUCUUUUUCCUGCCUCAUCCCCUGCAUCUACAUUGAUUGAAGUGGAUUUAACAAGUGACAUGAAUAAGGGGUCAUAGCUUUCACCUGGAUUCAACUGGUCAGUCUAUGUCAUGGAAAAAGCAGCUGUUUUUCAUGUUUGUAUACUCAGUGUACAUCAAGCUGACUCACGUCUCACUACAGAAACAGAAGAUUGGCUCUUGUGAUCCAUUCCGGCUCAUACAAACCAUGGCUCUUGCAAGAUUAAUACUGUUUGCUUUGGAACUAUCAUCUUGCCAAGGAGUUAAGGGAUUUCCUCCUCUUCCGGAGAGGCGAAAAGGAUCAGAGGACCAAUAUGCGGCGUGGUAAGUGUCCAUGGUUCUUUUAAUAAGAAAUAAUACACAUGAACAACUGAAUACAAAAACAAUAAACGAAACCCAAAACAGUACCGUGUGGUGAAAACCACAGACACGGAAGCAAACACCCACAAACAAACAGUGAAACCCAGGCUACCUAAGUAUGAUUCUCAAUCAGAGACAACUAAUGACACCUGCCUCUGAUUGAGAACCAUACUAGGCCGAAACAUAGAAAUCCCCAAAUCAUAGAAAAACAAACAUAGACUGCCCACCCCAACUCACGCCCUGACCAUACUAAAUAAUGACAAAACAAAGGAAAUAAAGGUCAGAACUUGACAAGAGUUUUUCAAUUUUCCCAGAAGUGGUUAGAAUCUAUGGAUUCUUCAAUUACAUUGAGCUGAUUUCUGAUGUGCUGUUCCUUCUUUUUCCGUAGUGUAUUUCUGUAUUGUUUUAGUGAUUCACCAUUGUCAAGGUGUUUGGUUUUCUGGGUCUCUAUUUUAUUGGUUGGAUAGGUUUCUCCAUUUCUUUCUUAGGUUUUUGCAUUCUUCAUCAAACAACUUGUCAUUGUUGUUAAUCUUUCUUAGAUUGUCUACAUGAAAAACAAAUAGUUUAUAUACUGUUUAGGUUUUCUACUGCCAAGUUUACAUCUUCACUAUUACAGUGAAACAUUUUGUCCAGGAAAUUGUCUAGAAGGGAUUAAAUUUGUUGUUGCCUAAUAUAUAAUUUUGUAGAUUUCCACAUUACUUUCCUUCCAUCUAUAGCAUUUCUUAAUAUUAUUCAGUUCCUUUGAUGGCUCAUGAUGGCUCAUGAUUGAGCAAAGCUCUGUUCAAGUAGAAUAUGAUUUUGGUGUGAUCUGAUAGCAGUCGACUGACUGUGAACGCUCCAAGAGACUCUGGGUUGAGGUCAGUGAUAAAGUAGUCUACAGUACUACUGCCAAGAGAUGAGCUAUAGGUGUACCUACCAUAGGAGUCCCCUCGAAGCCUACCAUUGACUAUGUACAUACCUAGCGUCUGACAGAGCUGCAGGAGUUGUGACCUGUUUUUGUUGGUUAUGUGGUUGUAGUUUGUCUAGGGGGGAUUUGGGGGAGGGAAUGUUGUCACCUGCAGGCAGGUGUUUGUCCCUCUGUGUGCUGAUGGUGUCAGGUUCUUGUCCAGUUCUGGUAUUUAGGUUGCCACAGACUAGUACAUGUCCCUGGGCCUGGAGAUUGUUGAUCUCCCCCUCUAGGAUGGAGAAGCUAUCAUUGUUAAAGUAUGGGGAUUUUAAUGGGGGGAUAUAGGUACAGUAUAUGGAGCAACGGCUCUGGAGCAACAAACCGCCCUUGCUGCCUCUGCCUGGCCGGUUCCCCUCUCUCCACUGGGAUUCUUUGCCUUUAUCCCUAUUACAGGGGCUGAGUCACUGGCUUACUGCUGCUCUUCCAUGCCAUCCCUAAGAGGGGUGCGUCACUUGAGUGGGUUGAGUCACUGACGUGAUCUUCCCCCUUGGGUUGUGCCGUGGCGGAGAUCUUUGUGGGCUAUACUCGGCCUUGUCUCAGGAUGGUAAGUUGGUGGUUGAAGAUAUCCCUCUAGUGGUGUGGGGGCUGUGCUUUGGCAAAGUGGGUGGGGUUAUAUGCUGCCUGUUUGACCCUGUCCAGGGGUAUCAUUGGAUGGGGCCACAGUGUCUCCUGACCCCUCCUGUCUCAGCCUCCAGUAUUUAUGCUGCAGUAGUUUAUGUGUCGAGGGGCUAGGGCGAGUCUGUUAUAUCUGGAGUACUUCUCCUGUCUUAUCCGGUGUCCUGUGUGAAAUUAAGUAUGCUCUCUCUAAUUAUCUCUUUCUUUCUCUCUCUCGGAGGACCUGAGCCCUAGGACCAUGCCUCAGGACUACCUGGCAUGAUGACUCCUUGCUGUCCCCAGUCCACAUGGCCGUGCUGCUGCUCCAGUUUCAACUGUUCUGCCUGCGGCUAUGGAACCCUGACCUGUUCACCGGACGUGCUACCUGUCCCAGAGCUGCUGUUUUCAACUCUCUAGAGACAGCAGGAGCGGUAGAGAUACUCUUAAUGACCGGCUAUGAAAAGCCAACUGACAUUUACUCCUGAGGUGCUGACUUGCUGCACCCUCGACAACUACUGUGAUUAUUAUUAUUUGACCAUGCUGGUCAAUUAUGAACAUUUGAACAUCUUGGCCAUGUUCUGUUAUAAUCUCCACUCCACAGAAGAGGACUGGCUACCCUUCAGAGCCUGGUUCCUCUCAGGUUUCUUCCUAGGUUUUGGCCUUUCUAAGGAGUUUUUCCUAGCCACCGUGCUUCUACACCUGCAUUGCAUGCUGUUUGGGGAUUUAGGCUGGGUUUCUGUACAGCACUUUGAGAUAUCAGCUGACGUAAGAAAGGCUUUGUAAAUAAAUAUGAUUUGAUUUAGGUAGCACACAUGAAGACAUUUUUCUCUGUUGAGAUAGUUUCCUUAUGCAUUUCUAGCCAGAUGUAAAAUGUUCCUGUUUGGACUAAUUUAAUAAAGUGGGGUAGCUAUAUACCUAAUUAGCAUACCCCCUGAGACGCUUCCCUCUUUCACACCUGGUAGUUUGGUGGAUGGAACUACCAGCUCUCUGUAACCUUGAGGGCAACCAGUGGGUCCGUCUCCUUUAUACCAUGUUUCUUGUAUAAUGACAAUGUCUGUAUUUCCAAUUACUUUGAUGAAGUCUGGGAUCCUGCUCUUUAGGCCAAUGGCAGAUGACCUCCAACCCUGUUGUUAUCCAGUAUGAG